AAUGAACGUUGGCGGCGUGGAUUAGGCAUGCAAGUCGGACGGGCCGCAAGGCCAGUGGCGCAAGGGUGAGUAAGGCGAAGGUAACCAACCCCGCGGGUGGGCAUAGCCGGGGGAAACUCCGGGUAAUUCCCAGCGACGCCAGGAGUCGGCAUCGGCCCCUGGCCAAAGAUUCAUCGCCGCGGGACGGGCCUUCGUGGUAUUAGGUAGUUGGCGGGGUGACGGCCCACCAAGCCUGCGAUGCCUACCGGGCGUGCGAGCGUGGCCCGGUACACUGGGACUGAGACACUGCCCAGACUCCUACGGGAGGCUGCAGUCGAGAAUCUUCGGCAAUGGGCGCAAGCCUGACCGAGCGACGCCGCGUGGAGGACGAAGGCCUUCGGGUUGUAAACUCCUGUCGAGGGGGAGGAAGCCUUCGGGUUGACCGAUCCCUGGAGGAAGCACGGGCUAAGUUCGUGCCAGCAGCCGCCGUAAUAC
This 474-nucleotide ribosomal RNA is filed under the name uncultured bacterium. RNAcentral's name for it is "bacterial SSU rRNA". It matches the Rfam family "Bacterial small subunit ribosomal RNA", at positions 28 to 526 of the family's 1533-position model. The record is from RNAcentral.